This is a small nuclear RNA of Dipodomys ordii (Ord's kangaroo rat), 107 nucleotides long. Lineage: Eukaryota; Metazoa; Chordata; Mammalia; Rodentia; Heteromyidae. The record is from Ensembl.
GUGUUCGCUUCGGCAACACAUAUACUAAAAUUGGAACAAUACAGAGAAGAUUAGCAUGGCCCUUGUGAAAAGAUGACACGCAAAUUUGUGAAGCGUUCCAUAUUUUU